AUUGAACGCUGGCGGAAUGCUUUACACAUGCAAGUCGAACGGCAGCACGGACUUCGGUCUGGUGGCGAGUGGCGAACGGGUGAGUAAUACAUCGGAACGUGCCCAGUCGUGGGGGAUAACGUAGCGAAAGCUACGCUAAUACCGCAUACGAUCUACGGAUGAAAGCGGGGGAUCGCAAGACCUCGCGCGAUUGGAGCGGCCGAUGGCAGAUUAGGUAGUUGGUAGGGUAAAGGCCUACCAAGCCGACGAUCUGUAGCUGGUCUGAGAGGAUGAACAGACAGACUGGGACUGAGACACGGGCGAGACUCCUAAGGGAGGCGGCAGUGGGGAAUGUUGGACGAGGGAGGCAAGUCUGAUCCAGCCAUUCCGCGUGCAGGAUGAAGGCGCUCGGGUUGUAAACUGCUUUUGUACAGAACGAAAAGGCUCUGGUUAAUACCCGGGGCUCAUGACGGUACUGUAAGAAUAAGCACCGGCUAAGUACGUGCCAGCCGCCGCGGUAA
This 500-nucleotide ribosomal RNA is filed under the name uncultured bacterium. Its description in RNAcentral is "partial 16S ribosomal RNA". It matches the Rfam family "Bacterial small subunit ribosomal RNA", at positions 29 to 523 of the family's 1533-position model. The record is from RNAcentral.